AAAGUAGGGUUGAUAGUUUUUACCAUUACCAGUAAAGUUAACAUGAAUUGUAUAACUGUAACAGAAGCAGAUGUAUCAGUUCUCCAAUUCCCAUAAGGUUUCUAUGGCAUUCCUCCUAAUUAGAACUCUAUUACUAACCCUGGAGGUGUGGGAAGGGCAACUUACCCUUUAUUUUUAGUACAAACCAUGUUGUCAGCCUUUAUGAACCCUCAGCAGAGAUGGCAAGACUAUAUAUAUCAGGGAUAGUGGCCUUCCAUAUAUUGAAUUGCAGCUAUUUGCAUUGUAUUGACAGGCAUCAGACUAUAACCAUUCUACCGUUCUCCUUUCAUUACUAUAGGAGCCACCUUUAAUUCUGGCUGCACAAAUUUGUAAAAUCAAAUUAUUCUGCCGAUUACUGUAGAAGACAUUUCUUUUUUUUAAUUCAUGCAGAAUGCCAUACUAGUAUUUAGCCAACAUGAUGUCAGCAUUGACAUCAUAGCCAACCCCAUUCCCACCUCCAGCCACUGCCCAAAACUCUGUCCAGAACAUCUAUAUCUUGACACCGGCCUCCUACAUCUAUUUUUCAUUCUAACAAAGCAUUUAAUUCCCUAGAUUUCAGGCACAGCUGCAAAUUUUAUUCAUGCAAAUAAAAAAUUACAGAUGUCUUUGUUGAAAAUGACAGCAACACAAUCACCAAGGGUAAAGAUGGGACUCGCCUAUCACAAAUCACAAGUCAGUAAUUGCAGUAACAGGGAUGAGACGGAGCAGGAGCCUGAUUUAUGAGGUCUAUGGGUUCAUACACUGAGGCUUCAAUAAUGGCUGCUCCAGUUACACAUGUUGUUUAAGAAAGUCCGGAGGUCAAGAGUUUUAGCUUCGGUUUCAUCAUUUAUUGAUGCAACACUUGAAAAUAUUAUAUAAAACAGUAGGAUUGGAGGACCAUGUUUACAAGAGCGUGAGAAAGAUCAGACACAUAAGGGUGUUGAAAAGAAUUGGUAAUGGUUCUUUAUUAGUACAUUGCCAAAUUGCGUCAGAGAGGCUUCUAUUGUACAGGGUGGUCAUUAGGAACCAAUUUAAGGUUAGGAGGGAAGGUCGGAGUUGGCACUAGUGAGCUAGGUAUGUUUGGCCCUUGUGCCAAAACUUUAUGAUACUAAAAGGAUUCUGGAGAUCCUGCUAAAUGCUGUUUAAAAUAAAAGUUAGUAAGCCAUUAAUAAAUGUAUGCCUCUUUACCGAGAGGAUGACAAAUAUGGAACAUCUUAAGUAUCUCUCCACAUUGAAACUGCUGGUAGACAAAGGGUUAACUAAGGCGGUGCACCAAAAACUUCCACAGGGCUAAAGCUUUGGACCAGCGGCCAGGUAAUGAUGUGUUUUAACAAAGGCCCACCUCUAACAAAAGCAGAAUUCCUCGUUUAGAAGAAUUUAAGUAAAAAGAAAAAAAAAAAAGUUACCCUGUGGCUCCUAUGAAGCUUUUUUGCAGCCCAUACAAAAUCAGGACUGAGUAGCCUGUGGAGCCAAAUGUGUCAAGGAAAAAGAGAUACCCUCAGGGUUUUGGAGAUUGUAAUGAUUGGAGCCACCACAUAAAGGUACUUGUAAAUCACAGAGACCAGAGCAAUAGCAGGCUCCUAUAAAAGAGGCAGUGUCACUCUAAACAGCAGCUCUGUCUGCAAGAGGUUCUGCAGCUACUGGGAUACUUUACCCAUAUGAUGAAAAGGAUAAGUAGCCACUUCUGAAUGUGUGGGGCAAGGGAAGCUCUGCUGGACACCAGAUAGUGAACCAGUAAAUCAUUUAUCAUUUAAACCUCCCCCAGUAGGAAAAAUGCACUACUGGCCCUUAUCUUGGCUCCAACAGAAUAAACAACCUACAUAUACAACUGAUAUAAUGUACAGAACCACUCAUGCCUGCCAGUGGCAGCCCCACAACCCAACAUGCCGGUCACACAGCAAGAAGGAAAAGAAAUCAUACUUUGCAAUCACACAAAUUAUUUCUAGAUAGAAUGAUUUGUGAGUAGUACUAAUUCAUAGGGUACAUAGCAACUACUGAAUUGUGUCUAUCAACGGGAUCUAGUGUGCCAAGAUUGCUUUUGCUUCAGUUAUUAAUGAUACUAAGGGUAGGAUCACACCGGGCGAUUCGGGGAGAUUUAGUGUGCUUUAUCAUAGGCGUCUUUCCAUUAUAGCGGACGGGAAGACACACGAAGGCAGUUCGGGGACGUGGACUGACCCUAAGGGUCAGGCCGCACAGGGCAUUUUUUUGUGGCGACCAAUCUCCCCAAACGCCUUCCCUCACUCUGCGCCGGCUAAAAUGAAAAACGCCGGCGCUAAUCACACGCGGCGAUUCGUUUUCCGAAGUCGCCCAAAGUUUCCUCGUGAAUAGGCUUGGAGUUGUAUCUAUAUUGUUUGCAUGCAUUUGUAGAACAGGGGACGGGGCGAGGGAGUCGAGGAUUUAAUGAGUCUGUGACCCUGGGAUUCCUUGUAGGCACAGUCCUGUGCGCUGCAGUGUCUGGUUUCAGGAAACUCUGUGCUGUUAAACAUUAUUACUCACUUUCCUCAUGUGAGCGCAGAGCAGUUAGGGAGAGAUGUACUCAUAUCCUCACAGGUCCUACUCUAACCAAGGCAAUAGCUGCAUGUGGAAGGCAUCAGGGAAAGGCUAUGGACACAGUCGCUUCUCAGCACUAAAUAGGAAGGGUUAUACUGUAUAAGAAAGUUGUACUAGGGUGGGAGAUGCCAUAAUGACCAUCAACAUGGCUGUGAGUUUUCUAGAAUAUGGCAAAGAUGGGCAGUCCCUUCAGUGGUGAGGCUGGAGUUUAAUAUCUAAAGAUAAAGGUAGCGGUCUAAAAGCUUUACAAAUAAUGGGAAAGAAUGGGAAAUUGGGAAGCUGAUGAAUACUCCUCCCCACCAUGAAACAAAAUAAAACAGAGGAAAAGUAAAGAAAGAAUUGCCCAUCUGUUUGGGGUAUAGUGGGAAUUGUAGUCCAAAUACUGAAGGGCCACAGGUUGUUCUGGUGUUGUACUAAAUGCACAAGGGAAGCAGGAGUUGGGCCCAGGUAAUAUCAUCCAGAUGGAGGGAGCUGCAUCCACACACACAAAAGAUAUGAACGUCUGACUGCCAAAAGCUGCACUGAGAGAGAGAGAGGGGUCCAGCAACACAUGCUCUGGGUAGAGACAGGCAGGUUCUGGGGUAGGAACAGGCAGGAUCUGGGGUAGGAACAGGCAGGAUCUGGGGUAGGAGGAACAGGCAGGAUCUGGGGCCCAGCUGUGACAGAACUACAUCUCCCAGCAUCCCCACAGCAGCAAGACUGGAAGGUGCCAAGCAGCAGUGAAGAGCCCGGGGCUCCCGGCAAAGAAAGCAAAGAAGCCAUGGAUCCCCCCAUUGUCCGGCCACUCACCUCUGCGCGUCUGGGAGGUAGAAGUCCACAGAGAAACCAAAGAAGCUGCCACUUGCCCCCGUGUAAACUGCCGGCUGCUCCACUGCCAAGUUAAAUCCACGGACCGAGCUGAAGGUGAGCAGCGCGCACAGCACAGGGAACAAGAACGUGGCCACUAGCCCAGGGACACGGGAGCCUCGUGGGAGCUGCAUGACUUGGGGCGACUGUGGGUGCGUGUGGGAGAGACGGCCGGGGAUCUAGUAGGAUGCUAAGCGGACUUUCACAAGCUGAGAACUAUUCCAAUUGAGCAAAAAGCCCCUCCUAAAAGUAACGGCAGGGAGUUCCCUACAGAAAGAGGAGGGCUCGCAUACAGCCCGGGCACCCACCUCCUCUUUUUGUUCAAUGGAUUGAUCCCUUUUUCUGCUGUAUGGAUUUAAUUAGGGCCUACUUGUGUUUGCCUGCUCCCCUCUCUCGUUUUGGCUUUUAAUAAACUCCACUCUCCGCCCUUCUAACUCA
Molecule: long non-coding RNA, 3852 nt
Organism: Xenopus laevis (African clawed frog)
Lineage: Eukaryota; Metazoa; Chordata; Amphibia; Anura; Pipidae
Exons: 2
Source: RefSeq, a predicted model, not a curated record